Molecule: ribosomal RNA, 253 nt
Filed under: uncultured bacterium
Lineage: Bacteria
Description: partial 16S ribosomal RNA
Rfam family: Bacterial small subunit ribosomal RNA
Source: RNAcentral
UACGUAAGGGGCAAGCGUUGUCCGGAAUCACUGGGCGUAAAGCGCACGUAGGCGGUUUGUCAAGUUGGGGGUGUAAGCUCUAGGCUUAACCUAGAAAUUGCCUCCAAAACUAGCAUACUUGAGUAUUAGAGGGGAAGCUGGAAUUCACGGUGUAGCGGUGAAAUGCGUAGAUAUCGUGGAGAACACCCGUGGCGAAGGCGGGCUUCUGGCUAAUUACUGACGCUGAGGUGCGAAAGCUAGGGGAGCGAACAGG